RNAcentral lists this ribosomal RNA (464 nucleotides) under uncultured bacterium. Its description in RNAcentral is "partial 16S ribosomal RNA". It matches the Rfam family "Bacterial small subunit ribosomal RNA", at positions 28 to 507 of the family's 1533-position model. The record is from RNAcentral.
GACGAACGCUGGCGGCGUGCUUAACACAUGCAAGUCGAGCGGAAAGGCCCUUUCGGGGGUACUCGAGCGGCGAACGGGUGAGUAACACGUGAGUAAUCUGCCCUUCACUUGGGGAUAACCUCCGGAAACGGUGGCUAAUACCCGAUACGACCAUUCCUCGCAUGAGGUGGUGGUGGAAAGUUUUUCGGUGGGGGAUGUGCUCGCGGCCUAUCAGCUUGUUGGUGGGGUAAUGGCCUACCAAGGCUUCGACGGGUAGCCGGCCUGAGAGGGUGACCGGCCACACUGGGACUGAGACACGGCCCAGACUCCUACGGGAGGCAGCAGUGGGGAAUAUUGGACAAUGGGCGGAAGCCUGAUCCAGCAACGCCGCGUGAGGGAUGACGGCCUUCGGGUUGUAAACCUCUUUCACCUGUGACGAAGCGAAAGUGACGGUAGCAGGAGAAGAGGCACCGGCCGACUACGUG